AUUGAACGCUGGCGGCAUGCCUUACACAUGCAAGUCGAACGGUAACGCGGGGCAAUCUGGCGACGAGUGGCGAACGGGUGAGUAAUGCAUCGGAACGUGCCCAGUAGGGGGGGAUAGCCCGGCGAAAGCCGGAUUAAUACGGCAUACGACCGACGGGUGCAAGCGGGGGUCCGUAAGGCCUCGCGCGAUUGGAGCGGCCGGUGUCAGAUCAGGCUGUUGGUGGGGUAAAGGCCGACCAAGCCGACGACCUGUAGCUGGUCUGAGAGGACGACCAGCCCCACUGGGACUGAGACACGGCCCAGACUCCUACGGGAGGCAGCAGUGGGGAAUUUUGGACAAUGGGGGCAACCCUGAUCCAGCCAUGCCGCGUGCGGGAAGAAGGCCUUCGGGUUGUAAACCGCUUUUGUCAGGGAAGAAACGCUCUGGGCUAAUACCCUGGGGUAAUGACGGCACCUGAAGAAUAAGCACCGGCUAACUACGUGCCAGCAGCCGCCGUAA
This 498-nucleotide ribosomal RNA is filed under the name uncultured bacterium. Its description in RNAcentral is "partial 16S ribosomal RNA". It matches the Rfam family "Bacterial small subunit ribosomal RNA", at positions 29 to 523 of the family's 1533-position model. The record is from RNAcentral.